This 117-nucleotide small nuclear RNA is filed under the name Eutrema salsugineum. RNAcentral describes it as "U5 spliceosomal RNA". It matches the Rfam family "U5 spliceosomal RNA". From Rfam's summary of the family: U5 RNA is a component of both types of known spliceosome. The precise function of this molecule is unknown, though it is known that the 5' loop is required for splice site selection and p220 binding, and that both the 3' stem-loop and the Sm site are important for Sm protein binding and cap methylation. Lineage: Eukaryota; Viridiplantae; Streptophyta; Magnoliopsida; Brassicales; Brassicaceae. The record is from Rfam by way of RNAcentral.
AGCCAUGUGGUGAGCUCAAAGCGAACUAUUCUUUCGCCUUUUACUAAAGAAUACCGUGUGCUCUCCACGCUAAGUGGCAUACGCCUAUUUUUGGAGGGUUUCCGCUCAAGAGUGGAC